Molecule: ribosomal RNA, 252 nt
Filed under: uncultured bacterium
Lineage: Bacteria
Description: partial 16S ribosomal RNA
Rfam family: Bacterial small subunit ribosomal RNA
Source: RNAcentral
UACGUAGGGUGCAAGCGUUAAUCGGAAUCACUGGGCGUAAAGGGUGCGUAGGCGGGUCUUUUAAGUCAGGGGUGAAAUCCUGGAGCUCAACUCCAGAACUGCCUUUGAUACUGAGAUCUUGAGUUCGGGAGAGGUGAGUGGAACUGCGAGUGUAGAGGUGAAAUUCGUAGAUAUUCGCAAGAACACCAGUGGCGAAGGCGGCUCACUGGCCCGAGUACUGACGCUGAGGCACGAAAGCGUGGGGAGCAAACA